Molecule: ribosomal RNA, 253 nt
Filed under: uncultured bacterium
Lineage: Bacteria
Description: partial 16S ribosomal RNA
Rfam family: Bacterial small subunit ribosomal RNA
Source: RNAcentral
UACGUAGGUGGCAAGCGUUAUCCGGAUUUACUGGGUGUAAAGGGCGUGUAGGCGGGAAAGCAAGUCAGAUGUGAAAACCACGGGCUCAACCUGUGGCCUGCAUUUGAAACUGUUUUUCUUGAGUACUGGAGAGGCAGACGGAAUUCCUAGUGUAGCGGUGAAAUGCGUAGAUAUGAGGAGGAACACCAGUGGCGAAGGCGGUCUGCUGGACAGCAACUGACGGUGAGGCGCGAAAGCGUGGGGAGCAAACAGG